AGUUCUCACAAAAUCUGGACAGUGAAAGGCAUAGGCACAGUUCCACAUAGAGUCAAUGAAAGCAGAUACUCACAGAAUCAUCCAAGCAGUUCAGUACAUGGAAAACAGUCAAUCAGUUCGAGAGAUGAAUCAAGAGAAACAGAGCCUCACAGAUGCACAAAAUCGGUGUUUUUCUCAAGUGUUUAAGGUAAAUCAAUGUCACUCGAUGCACUCAAGAAAGCAAACACAAAUAGACUUGGCAAGCCUCUAAUAUCAACACUCAAGCACACAUGCAUGUUNAAAUCAAAAGGUCUUUUCAUGGUUGUAAUGGGGCCAAGGACAAGGGAGGAUAUCAUAUGGAUGAGAAGUUACAAACCACAGGAAAUAGAGGAGCAAUGGGGAACAAGUGUAAACACAGUCAAAUCACACCCAAAACCUCUAACUCAAUCCUCUUCUUGACUCCAUUAUUCACACAAUUUUUUAUUUUUCCUCAUUUUUUUUUCUGCAUUUUUUUUCUUUUUUUUUUUU
This 507-nucleotide long non-coding RNA is filed under the name Vigna radiata. RNAcentral describes it as "long non-coding RNA (VRAD_LNC015803)". Lineage: Eukaryota; Viridiplantae; Streptophyta; Magnoliopsida; Fabales; Fabaceae. The record is from RNAcentral.